CGUAGGUGGCAAGCGUUGUCCGGAUUUAUUGGGCGUAAAGCGAGCGCAGGCGGUUUUUUAGGCCUGAUGUGAAAGCCUUCGGCUUAACCGGAGAAGUGCAUCGGAAACCGGGAGACUUGAGUGCGGAAGAGGACAGUGGAACUCCAUGUGUAGCGGUGAAAUGCGUAGAUAUAUGGAAGAACACCAGUGGCGAAGGCGGCUGUCUGGUCUGCAACUGACGCUGAGGCUCGAAAGCAUGGGUAGCGAACAGGAUUAGAUACCCUGGUAGUCCAUGCCGUAAACGAUGAGUGCUAAGUGUUGGAGGGUUUCCGCCCUUCAGUGCUGCAGCUAACGCAUUAAGCACUCCGCCUGGGGAGUAUGACCGCAAGGUUGAAACUCAAAGGAAUUGACGGGGACCCGCACAAGCGGUGGAGCAUGUGGUUUAAUUCGAUGCUACGCGAAGAACCUUACCAGGUCUUGACAUCUUCUGCUAACCUAAGAGAUUAGGCGUUCCCUUCGGGGACGGAAUGACAGGUGGUGCAUGGUUGUCGUCAGCUCGUGUCGUGAGAUGUUGGGUUAAGUCCCGCAACGAGCGCAACCCUUAUUGUCAGUUGCCAGCAUUUAGUUGGGCACUCUGGCGAGACUGCCGGUGACAAACCGGAGGAAGGUGGGGAUGACGUCAAAUCAUCAUGCCCCUUAUGACCUGGGCUACAAACGUGCUACAAUGGACGGUACAACGAGUCGCGAAACCGCGAGGUCAAGCUAAUCUCUGAAAGCCGUUCUCAGUUCGGAUUGCAGGCUGCAACUCGCCUGCAUGAAGUUGGAAUCGCUAGUAAUCGUGGAUCAGCAUGCCACGGUGAAUACGUUCCCGGGCCUUGUACACACCGCCCGUCACACCAUGAGAGUUUGUAACACCCAAAGCCGGUGGGGUAACCGUAAGGGACCAGCCGUCUAAGGUGGGACAGAUGAUUGGGGUGAAGUCGUAACAAGGUAGCCGUAGGAGAACCUGCGGCUGGAUCACCUCCUUUCUAA
This 1011-nucleotide ribosomal RNA is filed under the name uncultured bacterium. RNAcentral's name for it is "bacterial SSU rRNA". It matches the Rfam family "Bacterial small subunit ribosomal RNA", at positions 526 to 1533 of the family's 1533-position model. The record is from RNAcentral.